RNAcentral lists this ribosomal RNA (253 nucleotides) under uncultured bacterium. RNAcentral describes it as "partial 16S ribosomal RNA". It matches the Rfam family "Bacterial small subunit ribosomal RNA", at positions 524 to 776 of the family's 1533-position model. The record is from RNAcentral.
UACGUAGGGUGCAAGCGUUGUUCGGAAUCAUUGGGCGUAAAGCGCGUGUAGGUGGUUAGAUAAGUCGGGUGUGAAAUCCCUGGGCUCAACCGAGGAAGUGCAUUCGAAACUAUCUAGCUAGAGGACGGUAGAGGAAGGUGGAAUUCCUAGUGUAGAGGUGAAAUUCGUAGAUAUUAGGAGGAAUACCGGUGGCGAAGGCGGCCUUCUGGGCCGUUCCUGACACUGAGACGCGAAAGCGUGGGUAGCAAACAGG